Long non-coding RNA from Dreissena polymorpha, 986 nucleotides. RefSeq lists it as uncharacterized. The record is from RefSeq and is a predicted model, not a curated record. The transcript is spliced from 2 exons. Lineage: Eukaryota; Metazoa; Mollusca; Bivalvia; Myida; Dreissenidae.
GCCAUGAGCGCAUGAUACGCCCGUCGUUCGCCAAUGAAGUAGUAAGGUAAUAAAUAACCCUUUGAAUCAUUUUUUUACUUCAGUUUAUUUGUAUUUGAAUACAUGGUUUAUUUUAUAAGAACAUGAGCAUGGAGCGCCGUCUCCUUGACAUUCAACAAAGUCCCAUAACUGUGGAACAACAAUUCAGAAUUCCGUCAAAAACGAAAGGGGAUCAGGGUUUAUCAAUAUUAAGAUUGUGUUGAAAUUUGAAAAAAAUCCAUCGAAGGAUAUUUGAGCUACGGUAGGACAUUCAAUGAAAUAACGAAAUUUUGACGAACAAAGUCCCAUAACUCUGGAACGACAAUUCAGAAUUCCGUCAAAAACGAAAGGGGAUCAGGGUUUAUCAAUAUUAAGAUUGUGUUGAAAUUUGAAAAAAAUCCAUCGAAGGAUAUUUGAGCUACAGUAGGACAUUCAAUGAAAUCACGAAAUUUUGACGAACAAAGUCCCAUAACUCUGGAACGACAAUUCAGAAUUCCGUCAAAAACGAAAGGGGAUCAGGGUUUAUCAAUAUUAAGAUUGUGUUGAAAUUUGAAAAAAAUCCAUCGAAGGAUAUUUGAGCUACAGUAGGACAUUCAAUGAAAUCACGAAAUUUUGACGAACAAAGUCCCAUAACUCUGGAACGACAAUUCAGAAUUCCGUCAAAAACGAAAGGGGAUCAGGGUUUAUCAAUAUUAAGAUUGUGUUGAAAUUUGAAAAAAAUCCAUCGAAGGAUAUUUGAGCUACAGUAGGACAUUCAAUGAAAUCACGAAAUUUUGACGAACAAAGUCCCAUAACUCUGGAACGACAAUUCAGAAUUCCGUCAAAAACGAAAGGGGAUCAGGGUUUAUCAAUAUUAAGAUUGUGUUAAAAUUUGAAGAAAAUCUGUCAAAGGAUAUUUGACGUAGCGUACGACAUUAACAGACGGACAGACGGACGCGGGGUAUACCAUAAUACGUCCCGUCAUAGAC